UCUUUAUUGGGAUAUUUGCUUUAUUGC
RNAcentral lists this non-coding RNA (27 nucleotides) under Homo sapiens (human). Lineage: Eukaryota; Metazoa; Chordata; Mammalia; Primates; Hominidae. The record is from RNAcentral.